Molecule: long non-coding RNA, 726 nt
Filed under: Salmo salar (Atlantic salmon)
Lineage: Eukaryota; Metazoa; Chordata; Actinopteri; Salmoniformes; Salmonidae
Description: lncRNA (ENSSSAG00000104341.1, ENSSSAG00020072907.1, ENSSSAG00075015535.1)
Source: RNAcentral
CACGACUUCCGCCGAAGUCGGUCCCUCUCCUUGUUCGGGCGGCGUUCGGCGGUAUGCUGCUUGUGUAUUCAUUCCCAUAUCAGCUAAAAAUAGAACGUCAUUUUUUGGUCUCUGCAAGAACAGUUCUCCUUCACCUCCUCUUUACUAAUUGAAGGCUCUCCAGACCCCUCCUCUCUGUCAGUGAGUGAGGAGGUGAAGGUUAGGGAAGUGGUUUCUGCCUCCUGCUCUGUGUUUCACUCCUGCCCAUCUGAACGCCCGCUCCUCACCUGGAGCCAUUACAGAGCACCCAGUGUCCAAUCACAGCAGCUGACCAACGGCCAGUGGGAAGUGACAUUCCCUGACCUUUACCCCCACCCUCACCGAUAACAACCAUCCUCUGGUCUGCACAGCAGCGUUCAGGGGAGGGAAGACAGCGAACCGGUCCAAAACGCUCAAUGUCAAAUAUACACACAGGACCCUUACAGACCUGGUGUUGUUCUACUCAUAUCUGCUGUCCUGCGCCUGACUCUACACCAGCUACACACAGGACCCUUACAGCGAUUCGUAUUGACGUGACUCGACACUGUCCUGACUCAAAGCCUGCCUGCCGUCCUGUGCCUUUGUGCCUACUCUGGAUUACCGGCCUCUGCUUGACCUAACCCUGGGCCUGCCUGCCAUCCUGUGCCUUGGCCCCACUACUCUGGAUUACCGACCCCUGCCUGCCUUGAGCUGUCGUUUGCCUGCCCC